Molecule: ribosomal RNA, 494 nt
Filed under: uncultured bacterium
Lineage: Bacteria
Description: partial 16S ribosomal RNA
Rfam family: Bacterial small subunit ribosomal RNA
Source: RNAcentral
GACGAACGCUGGCGGCGUGCUUAACACAUGCAAGUCGAACGGUGAAGCGCCUUCCUUUUUGGUGGGUGUGGAUGAGUGGCGAACGGGUGAGUAACACGUGAGUAACCUGCCCCCUUCUUCUGGAUAACCGCAUGAAAGUGUGGCUAAUACGGGAUAUUCUGGGUCUGUCGCAUGAUGGGUCUGGGAAAGAUAUUGUUUCGGUGGGGGAUGGGCUCGCGGCCUAUCAGCUUGUUGGUGGGGUGAUGGCCUACCAAGGCGGUGACGGGUAGCCGGCCUGAGAGGGUGGACGGUCACACUGGGACUGAGACGCGGCCCAGACUCCUACGGGAGGCAGCGGUGGGGAAGAUUGCACGAUGGGCGGAAGCCUGAUGCAGCGACGCCGCGUGAGGGAUGGAGGCCUGCGGGUUGUGAACCUCUUUCGCCAGUGAAGCAGGCCUGCCUCGUUUGUGGGUGGGUUGACGGUAGCUGGAUAAGAAGCGCCGGCUAACUACGUG